UACAGAGGGUGCGAGCGUUGUUCGGAAUUAUUGGGCGUAAAGAGCUCGUAGGCGGUCUGUCGCGUCGAUCGUGAAAACUUGGGGCUUAACCCUGAGCUUGCGGUCGAUACGGGCAUGACUGGAGUUCGGCAGGGGAGACUGGAAUUCCUGGUGUAGCGGUGAAAUGCGCAGAUAUCAGGAGGAACACCGGUGGCGAAGGCGGGUCUCUGGGCCGAUACUGACGCUGAUGCGCGAAAGCCAGGGGAGCGAACGGG
Molecule: ribosomal RNA, 254 nt
Filed under: uncultured bacterium
Lineage: Bacteria
Description: partial 16S ribosomal RNA
Rfam family: Bacterial small subunit ribosomal RNA
Source: RNAcentral